AGUCUGUUGAGAAUCUUCUUUCUCCAAAGAGGUUUUCAAAACCUCUAUUCAAACAAAA
This 58-nucleotide transfer RNA is filed under the name Goniobranchus leopardus. Its description in RNAcentral is "tRNA-Ser". Lineage: Eukaryota; Metazoa; Mollusca; Gastropoda; Nudibranchia; Chromodorididae. The record is from RNAcentral.